GAAUAUUGGACAAUGGGCGCAAGCCUGAUCCAGCCAUGCCGCGUGUGUGAAGGAGGUCUUCGGAUUGUAAAGCACUUUAAGUUGGGAGGAAGGGCAGUUGACUAAUACUCUGCUGUCUUGACGUUACCGCCAGAAUAAGCACCGGCUACCCCUGUGCCAGCAGCCGCGGUAAUACAGAGGGUGCAAGCGUUAAUCGGAAUUACUGGGCGUAAAGCGCGCGUAGGUGGCUAAGUAAGAUGGGUGUGAAAUCCCCGGGCUCAACCUGGGAACUGCAUCCAUAACUGCUUGGCUAGAGUACGGUAGAGGGUAGUGGAAUUUCCUGUGUAGCGGUGAAAUGCGUAGAUAUAGGAAGGAACACCAGUGGCGAAGGCGACUACCUGGACUGAUACUGACACUGAGGUGCGAAAGCGUGGGGAGCAAACAGG
RNAcentral lists this ribosomal RNA (425 nucleotides) under uncultured bacterium. RNAcentral describes it as "bacterial SSU rRNA". It matches the Rfam family "Bacterial small subunit ribosomal RNA", at positions 359 to 776 of the family's 1533-position model. The record is from RNAcentral.